Non-coding RNA from Triticum aestivum (bread wheat), 115 nucleotides. Lineage: Eukaryota; Viridiplantae; Streptophyta; Magnoliopsida; Poales; Poaceae. The record is from Rfam.
CAUAUACUCCCUCUGUUCGGAAUUACUUGUCUCGAAAAUGAAUGUAUCCAGAACUAAAAUACGUCUAGAUACAUUCAUUUCUAUGACAAGUAAUUCCGAAUGGACGGAGUAGAUA